CCUACGGGCGUCAGCAGUGAGGAAUAUUGGUCAAUGGACGAGAGUCUGAACCAGCCAAGUAGCAUGAAGGAUGACUGCCCUAUGGGUUGUAAACUUCUUUUAUAUGGGAAUAAAAUGUUCCACGUGUGGGAUUUUGUAUGUACCAUAUGAAUAAGGAUCGGCUAACUCCGUGCCAGCAGCCGCGGUAAUACGGAGGAUCCGAGCGUUAUCCGGAUUUAUUGGGUUUAAAGGGAGCGUAGGUGGAUUGUUAAGUCAGUUGUGAAAGUUUGCGGCUCAACCGUAAAAUUGCAGUUGAAACUGGCAGUCUUGAGUACAGUAGAGGUGGGCGGAAUUCGUGGUGUAGCGGUGAAAUGCUUAGAUAUCACGAAGAACUCCGAUUGCGAAGGCAGUUCACUGGCCUGCAACUGACACUGAGGCUCGAAAGUGUGGGUAUCAAACAGGAUUAGAUACCCGGGUAGUC
This 460-nucleotide ribosomal RNA is filed under the name uncultured bacterium. Its description in RNAcentral is "partial 16S ribosomal RNA". It matches the Rfam family "Bacterial small subunit ribosomal RNA", at positions 338 to 795 of the family's 1533-position model. The record is from RNAcentral.